Molecule: long non-coding RNA, 383 nt
Organism: Entelurus aequoreus (snake pipefish)
Lineage: Eukaryota; Metazoa; Chordata; Actinopteri; Syngnathiformes; Syngnathidae
Exons: 4
Source: RefSeq, a predicted model, not a curated record
CUCUCCAUGUGGAGGAGCAGCAGCUUUACUUUGAGCUCCUCCCGGAUGACAGAGCUUCUCACCCUAUCUCUAAGGGAGAGACCCGCCACCCGGCGGAGGAAACUCAUUUGGGCCGCUUGUACCCGUGAUCUUGUCCUUUCGGUCAUAACCCAAAGCUCAUGACCAUAGAUUGUUACUACGGGGUGUGGUGUGUGGGACUGUGAGGACAAACAUGAAUUGAUUGAGGAACCAAAAGGAGGUGACCAGGUUCUACUUUAUCUGUCGGACACGUUGGGCGGCAGUGGCGUACCACCGUCACGCCAGGAAUGCAACGGUGGCACAAAGGAGGAGGACAACAGUGGGCGGGUUAAUCCCUGCUGGGCUCGGACAUGUGCCUCCACCAG